UACGUAGGGUGCAAGCGUUGUCCGGAAUUAUUGGGCGUAAAGAGCUCGUAGGCGGUCUGUUGCGUCGGCUGUGAAAACCCGAGGCUCAACCUCGGGCCUGCAGCCGAUACGGGCAGACUAGAGUUCGGCAGGGGAGACUGGAAUUCCUGGUGUAGCGGUGAAAUGCGCAGAUAUCAGGAGGAACACCGGUGGCGAAGGCGGGUCCCUGGGCCGAUACUGACGCUGAGGAGCGAAAGCGUGGGGAGCGAACAGG
Molecule: ribosomal RNA, 253 nt
Filed under: uncultured bacterium
Lineage: Bacteria
Description: partial 16S ribosomal RNA
Rfam family: Bacterial small subunit ribosomal RNA
Source: RNAcentral